This 468-nucleotide ribosomal RNA is filed under the name uncultured bacterium. RNAcentral's name for it is "partial 16S ribosomal RNA". It matches the Rfam family "Bacterial small subunit ribosomal RNA", at positions 28 to 507 of the family's 1533-position model. The record is from RNAcentral.
GACGAACGCUGGCGGCGUGCUUAACACAUGCAAGUCGAACGGAAAGGCCCUGCUUUUGUGGGGUGCUCGUGUGGCGAACGGGUGAGUAACACGUGAGUAACCUGCCCUUGACUUUGGGAUAACUUCUGGAAACUGGGGCUAAUACCGGAUAGGAGCUCCUGCUGCAUGGUGGGGGUUGGAAAGUUUCGGCGGUUGGGGAUAGACUCGGGGCUUAUCAGCUUGUUGGUGGGGUUGUGGCUUACCAAGGCUUUGACGGGUAGCCGGCCUGAGAGGGUGACCGGCCACAUUGGGACUGAGAUACGGCCCAGACUCCUACGGGAGGCAGCAGUGGGGAAUAUUGCACAAUGGGCGGAAGCCUGAUGCAGCAACGCCGCGUGCGGAAUGACGGCCUUCGGGUUGUAAACCGCUUUCGCCUGUGACGAAGCGUGAGUGACGGUAAUGGGUAAAGAAGCACCGGCUAACUACGUG